RNAcentral lists this long non-coding RNA (325 nucleotides) under Nicotiana benthamiana. RNAcentral describes it as "long non-coding RNA (NBEN_LNC025827)". The record is from RNAcentral. Lineage: Eukaryota; Viridiplantae; Streptophyta; Magnoliopsida; Solanales; Solanaceae.
GGGGAUUGGUUGAUCGGAAAGCUCAAGCAGGAGUAGGACAUUCCAUAUAAAUCUUUCUGAUCCGCUAGCUGGUGGUCCUCUCCUUAGAGUCAAGUGGCUUUCAGCUCCUCUCAAAUCCCAUUUUUUCAUCGACAGGUAGGGUGAAUUCUAAGGUUCCUCUCCUUAGAGUCAAGUGGCUUUCAGCUCCUCUCAAAUCCGAAGCGACCGUGCUAGAACCACGGGAUGCGGGGGUGUCUAACACUUUCCUUCGGGUCAACAGAAUUCCUUAUUCAGAAUUUCUGGUUCGCAAACUCCAUUCGGGAAGUCGAAGUUUUCCUCGGUUCGG